ACGCUCGACACCUACGGGAGGCAGCAGUGGGGAAUAUUGCACAAUGGGGGGAACCCUGAUGCAGCGACGCCGCGUGAGGGAAGAAGGUUUUCGGAUUGUAAACCUCUGUCCUUGGUGACGAUAAUGACGGUAGCCAAGGAGGAAGCCACGGCUAACUACGUGCCACAGCCGCGGUAAUCUGAGCGGGCUGGCAAGGC
This 197-nucleotide ribosomal RNA is filed under the name uncultured bacterium. Its description in RNAcentral is "partial 16S ribosomal RNA". It matches the Rfam family "Bacterial small subunit ribosomal RNA", at positions 328 to 539 of the family's 1533-position model. The record is from RNAcentral.